Molecule: small nuclear RNA, 163 nt
Filed under: Dasypus novemcinctus (nine-banded armadillo)
Lineage: Eukaryota; Metazoa; Chordata; Mammalia; Cingulata; Dasypodidae
Description: U1 spliceosomal RNA (ENSDNOG00000043336.1)
Rfam family: U1 spliceosomal RNA
About the family: U1 is a small nuclear RNA (snRNA) component of the spliceosome (involved in pre-mRNA splicing). Its 5' end forms complementary base pairs with the 5' splice junction, thus defining the 5' donor site of an intron.
Source: RNAcentral
AUAUUUACCUGGCAGGGGAGAUACCAUGAUCAUGUAGGUGGUUUUCCCAGGGCGAGGCUUAUCCAUUGCACUCCGGAUUGCAGACCCCUGUGAUUUCCCCAAAUGUGGGAAACUCCACUGCAUAGGUUGUGGUAGUGGGGAAUUGCGUUCAUGCUCUUCCCCA